Molecule: long non-coding RNA, 510 nt
Organism: Helianthus annuus (common sunflower)
Lineage: Eukaryota; Viridiplantae; Streptophyta; Magnoliopsida; Asterales; Asteraceae
Exons: 3
Source: RefSeq, a predicted model, not a curated record
UCUUCGCUGUGUAAUUACCCAGCGCGAACCAAACCCCAAACCCUACUUUCUAACCCGUAAAACACGACGUUUGACAUUCCUUGUGAUCCUAAUCGCUUGAAAUCCAUGGAGAAACUGAUUAUUUGUCAUUAAUCGAUCCUUAAACUCCAUUUACUAAUCUAAUUAUUAACAAAUUCGAAUCACCAUUAAAGUUUCUUGAUGAGCAUUUGGGUUUUGUCAUUUUUCAUAAAAUCGGACUACCAUCUUUACACACUUCAAUCCUCUGAUCAAACCACGUAAAACCCCACUGAAAUUUCUCCAUUUCAUCACCUCUACAUCGCGAAUUUAAUCGAAGAACAUUCUAGGGCUUGUAACUUGCGCAGACGAUAUCUCCUUCAAUUCUUAACCUUUUCAGGGUGAUUUAGUCAAUUGUUAUUCCUCGUGUACUCGUGCGAUGAAUCUCGUGGAUUAACUCUUCGCAACCUGUUUUCAAAGUUGAUGAUCAAGUGAUAUGGACACGUAGCAUGGGCC